Molecule: ribosomal RNA, 192 nt
Filed under: uncultured rumen bacterium
Lineage: Bacteria
Description: partial 16S ribosomal RNA
Rfam family: Bacterial small subunit ribosomal RNA
Source: RNAcentral
UACGGGAGGCAGCAGUGGGGAAUAUUGGGCAAUGGGCGAAACCCUGACCGAGCAACGCCGCGUGAUUGAAGAAGUAUUUCGAUAUGUAAAAAUCUUUUUUAGAGGACGAACGACCAUAUCAGGGAAUGGGUAUGGAGUGACGGUACUUUAAGAAUAAGCCCCGGCUAACUACGUGCCAGCAGCCGCGGUAAU